Molecule: non-coding RNA, 25 nt
Filed under: Drosophila erecta
Lineage: Eukaryota; Metazoa; Arthropoda; Insecta; Diptera; Drosophilidae
Also listed under: 1 other name
Source: RNAcentral
CAAGAUAUGAACAAAGCAAAGACAC